GAUGAACGCUGGCGGCGUGCCUAAUACAUGCAAGUCGAGCGCUGCGGGGACGGGUGCGUAACACGUGGAUAACCCCCUAUACGACUGGGACAACUUCGGGAAACCUGAGCUAAACGUGAUAUUUAUAGAUCGAUGCGCGAUGCAUUAGCUAGUUGGUAAGGUAACGGCUGACCAAGGCAACGAUGCAUAGCCGACCUGAGCGGGUGAUCGGCCACACGGGAACUGAGAAACGGCCCAGACUCCGACAGGAGGAAGCAGUAGGGAAUCUUCCGCAAUGGGCGAAAGCCUGACCGAGCAACGCAGCGUGAGUGAGGAAGGUUUUCGGAUCGUAAAACUCUGUUAUUAGAGAAGGGGUACCUAAUCAGAAAGCCACGGCUAACUACGUGCCAGCGGCCGCGGUAAUUC
RNAcentral lists this ribosomal RNA (405 nucleotides) under uncultured bacterium. RNAcentral describes it as "partial 16S ribosomal RNA". It matches the Rfam family "Bacterial small subunit ribosomal RNA", at positions 28 to 526 of the family's 1533-position model. The record is from RNAcentral.